AUGACUGUGGUGUAUAACAACACAUUGACCUUUCAUGUCAAAAUAAUAUAAAUAAAUAUCAGCCAUU
Molecule: transfer RNA, 67 nt
Filed under: Cirriformia cf. tentaculata HK-2018
Lineage: Eukaryota; Metazoa; Annelida; Polychaeta; Terebellida; Cirratulidae
Description: tRNA-Glu
Source: RNAcentral